This 598-nucleotide ribosomal RNA is filed under the name uncultured bacterium. RNAcentral describes it as "bacterial SSU rRNA". It matches the Rfam family "Bacterial small subunit ribosomal RNA", at positions 343 to 933 of the family's 1533-position model. The record is from RNAcentral.
GGAAGGCAGCAGUGGGGAAUAUUGCACAAUGGGCGAAAGCCUGAUGCAGCCAUGCCGCGUGUGUGAAGAAGGCCUUCGGGUUGUAAAGCACUUUCAGUUGUGAGGAAAGGGGUGUCGUUAAUAUCGGCAUCCUGUGACGUUAACAACAGAAGAAGGACCGGCUAACUCCGUGCCAGCAGCCGCGGUAAUACGGAGGGUCCGAGCGUUAAUCGGAAUUACUGGGCGUAAAGCGUGCGUAGGCGGAUUGUUAAGUCAGAUGUGAAAUCCCGGGGCUCAACCUCGGAACUGCAUUUGAAACUGGCAAUCUAGAGUACUGUAGAGGGUGGUGGAAUUUCCAGUGUAGCGGUGAAAUGCGUAGAGAUUGGAAGGAACAUCAGUGGCGAAGGCGGUCACCUGGACAGAUACUGACGCUGAGGCACGAAAGCGUGGGGAGCAAACAGGAUUAGAUACCCUGGUAGUCCACGCCGUAAACGAUGUCAACUAGCUGUCUGUGGUCUUGAACCGUGGGUAGCGCAGCUAACGCGAUAAGUUGACCGCCUGGGGAGUACGGCCGCAAGGUUAAAACUCAAAUGAAUUGACGGGGACCCGCACAAAAGGG